CGGAAUGUUGGGCGGUAUGGUCAAAAUAGCUUCAUCUAUGUGUGUAGAGUUUGGAGCAGUGGAGGCUCUAGACUUGGCGAGGCCUUAGGCGAAAAUCAUACCCCUAAUGAGGCCCCCACUAAUGCCAUUAUUGAAAAAAAUAGCAGUUGACUUGUGUGUGUGUAAGAAGCUGUAGAUAUAUUGAAUGGGGAGCUUGCAGCACUGGAUAUAGAGAGCUAGUCUCUCUAUACAUUGUUGCAUUGUCUACCUGUGUGUGCCUGAGAGUGUGUGUCUGGCAGGGAGUAUUCUUGUAUCUGUAUGUAUGUUUUUCUGAGCAUGUGUAUGUUUGUG
This is a non-coding RNA of Pelobates cultripes (western spadefoot toad), 330 nucleotides long. Lineage: Eukaryota; Metazoa; Chordata; Amphibia; Anura; Pelobatidae. The record is from the annotation of a GenBank genome assembly.